RNAcentral lists this long non-coding RNA (892 nucleotides) under Rattus norvegicus (Norway rat). RNAcentral's name for it is "long non-coding RNA NONRATT029605". The record is from RNAcentral. Lineage: Eukaryota; Metazoa; Chordata; Mammalia; Rodentia; Muridae.
CGCAGACACAGUCUCUCCAGGAGUCCAUCCCACCACACCAAAUUAGCCCUGAGCCUAAACUGCAACAGCCUUCAUCACAACCUCUCCUACCUUCAGAAGAACGUGUCUCAUCUCCGUGCCUGGUAUCCACGGAACCUAAGCCUCCAUGCAGAAAAGCAGUGCCUCUGACCUAUGCGGCCCCACGCUCCUGCUCCUGUGUGGUCUGCCCUGGCAGCUCCGCUUGCUGGCGUCGUCUGGGGCUUUGCCAUAGCCGAAUCUUUGAUGUCCUUCUGCCUCGGGACUGGUCAUCCAUGCCAGGGAGAGGAUUCCCAAACCUUCUCACCUUCUACAGAAAACCUUCAAGGAAAUACUGCACUUCCCGUAACUCUCGUGCUUCAAGCCCUCGGAACUGUUGCUGUGGCUCUGGGGGCCCUGGGAGUUGCCUACUUCAUGGCUGAAUCCUUGUGAACUGGACCCCAGGCCCACGGUCCGGCAGGUAGGAGGGCCCACCUGUCCCUUUUCUCUAGCUAGAGAAUAUUUCAAGGUGGACGAGGCCUUCAGCCUGUCGGGGAAAGUUCAUGAUCAUUCCUGCGUCAAGAUGGGCUGUCAGGACUCGGUCCAGCUUCUCUGGAGACCUUUUAUUAGAACCAUCAGGACAAAGACCCUACAGACAACCCUGUCUCCGGACCUGCUAUGGCUUCCCUAGUCCUAGAUGGGACGAAGUAGGGGAGAGGAAAGGUGGAGAUUAGCCAUCGUCUUGGACAAGCCCCUCUACUGUAUCCCCCAACUCGAGGGCCUAUUUCCCCUCACACCAACGUUCUCCAGCCUGUACCAAGGCCAUGCUGCGCACGCUUCUUUGGAAUGUGUGUAAUCGCUCCCACUGUUCAUUUAUAUUACAUCAUCUCUGCAUAUG